UUUGUUUAGACGCGAUGCGGAAAUACAUUAAGCAUUGUUAAUAACAUACGUGCUGUAUGAAUUCUACUUUAUUUAAAAUAAUAAUAAUAAUAAUAAUAAUAAUACCGUGUUGUUGAACAGUAAACCUGCUCAGUAUUAUAUUUAACCGUGCAUGAUAUCGUGCAUUAUAUCAGUGGGUGUCGGGUUGAUUUUCGAGUGAACGAAUCGUGUUGUCGUCAUGUCUAAAGUUGAGCGUCUGAACGCGCGUGUAAUGAAGUUACUGACAUCAGCAGUGAAUGAAGUGACAGAGAUCAUCAUACAAACAGUUUGUGAAUAUCAGGAGAAAACAGCCCGAACACACAGAGAGAACGAAAGACUGCGGAGGAAAUUACAAGAGCUACAGGAGAAGCUGGACAAAGGUUCUCAGCCCAUCUCUGGACAAGACCUGUCAACUCAAUGUCAAUGCAGUCAGCACUCAAACACCAGUACAGCAGUGCACAACAGAACACAUCUCAAACAGGACCCAUGCAGUAAAGGAUACCUGCAAAACUCGGACUAUAUCUGUGUUGAGUUAACAUUACCUGAACUAAAUGAAGCAGAAAGAGACGCGUGUGGCUCAAAUGAGAGUGCUGUGGCGUGCGUGAGCACCUCUCACCACCAGACCUGUGACAAACCUACUGCUAGUAAGAUAUCCUCGAAUGCAUCUGCAGCAAGCAUUAUAUCUCAAAGUGAUAAGAGUUUAUCUCCUCAUGAAAUCAAGACUGAACCUGAAAACCAAUUUGCAGAAGAACCGUUUCCCCAGAACGGCUUCAUUAUGAACACAAAGGCAAGCUUCAUAUUAGCUCAGAGUGUACUUCCUCCACAGACGCCUGUAGCUGAUGUAGAUCUUUCUGCACUGGCUUCCUGUGUCAGUGCCGAUGCAUUCAAUUCAUCUGCGGAGACGUUCUCCUAUGAUGAAGAUCCGAAUUUGAUAUCAGACAGCCAGCAGCCUAGACAAGGCCAACUAGAUAAUGAUGCCCGCCCCAGCUGCCUCAUAUGUGGAAAAACUUUUAGUAGAAUUGGGAACCUCCGUAUGCAUCAACGCUGCCAUACUGGCGAGAGACCCUACACGUGUAUCUACUGCGGCCGGCACUUCAGUCAUGCUGGAAACCUCCAUAGGCACAAAAGAGUUCACACAGGAGAACGACCGUACAGCUGCCAGCAGUGUGGAAAAACUUUCAGACAGGCCAGUCAUCUGCAGAAACAUCAGCGAAUACAUGUUUUUACACUGCAUUGCAACAAUGCAGGAAAUGUGCAACAAAGUGCGACAUGCACCUUAUUUCAUUCAUAAACUCUGUAUUUCUCUGUCUAGUUGUCUCCUCUCUUGCCAGUUUUAGCUAUAUGGUAUGUUUGUAUGUAUAUCAGUUAUUAAAAAAGCAAAUUUUGUUCCUAGAAAUUAUAAAAUGGUUGCUAAUUUUCUGUUUAGUGUCUUACAGUAGUUUGUUCUGGCUGGAGGUUGAAGCAAAGCUGGCUUUGGCAUCAGUUUGGCACCAAGUUAAAGGCUCAAUUAUGAAAAUGAAAUGUAAAUGAUGUCAUCAUUUACUCACCCAAAUGUUGUUCCAUAUCUAUUUCACACAUGGAACACAAGAGUCAAAUUCAUAGGGGUCAUUUUAACUCUCAGAGAACUAGGCAGCAUUACAUUUCAAAUUUGUAUCCCCUUCCCUCACAAAUUUCACUCCGUCUCACUGUUUACGUUGCGCAAGUGUCCACUACUGGCGGAAGAUGUGCAAGGGGUUUAACUGGAACACCCUUAACCCUUGAUCGCUUGGAGCAUGUUGAAAGCUGAUGUCAAUUAGUGGAAUUAUUUAGUGAUUUUUGCACCUGAGAAAAUGUUUUCGGAGAUCGAUUUCAGAGGCUUCUGUAUAAAUCUCUAAUGUUUACAUUUUCUUUUUCUUCGUUAGAAUGAAUUGUUAGAAAGGAUUAAUCAAGAUUUACACAAACAAAAAUGUUAACAUAACAAUGAACACAUAGGCUAUAAACAGUGUGAUAAACAGUUUAAGGUAGCUACAAGUAUUAUGCUGUUAAAUCUCAAUAUAAAUUUUCUAAACUGCUUAAUUGACCUAACUUCACUUCCAUCAAACAUUAGAGUUGUGUGGAGGUGGGGUUGAUGAAGCGCGAUAUGCUGUCAAGUCACAAUCGAGUUGCAUUGUGGGAUAUGGAGCUGCCUGAAUCAAUCAGAGUAGGCUCGCUCCCUCGGUCAAAAUCGAGGGGUUAAGGUUCUGUCAACAGAAACUUCCCUCAGUCACUAAACAAAGUGGAACGGACUUCCAAAAUGGCAGCGGGGAUUCCACCGAAGGGAAGUGCUUUGGGUAGUUAGCGAGUGGAUGUUAAAAGUGAAGUGGAAUGCAGCCCCAGAUUGGCAGAAUUGCAACAUUUGUUUUAAGGAAUUAAAUGAUAUCGAAUAUUCAUUAGGGUAAAAACAGGGGCCUGGGUAGCUCAGCAAGUAAAGAUGCUGACUACCACACCUGGAGUCACAAGUUGGAGUCCAGGGCGUGCUAAGUGACUCCAGUCAGGCUUCCUAAGCAACCAAUUGGCCUGGUUGCUAGGGUGGGUAGAGACAUGUUGGGUUAACCUCUUCGUGGUUGCCAUAAUGUGGUUCUCGCUCUUGGUGGGGCACGUGGUGAGUAGUGUGUGGAUGUCGCGGAGAAUAAUGUUUAGCCUCCACACGCGCUAGGUGUCUGCGGUAACGCGCUCAACAAACCACGUGAUAAGAUGCGUGGAUUGACGGUCUCAGACGCAGAGGCAACUGAGAUUCGUCCUCUGCCACCCAGAUCGAGGCGAGUCACUACGCCACCACGAGGCAUUCCAAAUUGGGGAGAAAAAUCCAAAAAAAUACAAAAUAUGGGUAAAAAUGACAUAAAAACUACACAAAGCAAUAGCUAACACUCUGAACUGUGUCACAUCAAAAACUUUGGUGGGGAAAAUGGCAUAUUUACUGCCACAGCAUGCUAAAUUCACACAAAAAGGUCACAGCUAGUUGCUGCAAUUGCUGACACUUUUGGAAAACAUUUAGCAAUUUUCUAAAUAUUUAUUUGACCUGUAAUAUUUAGUAACAUUUACUGAUUGAAAUAAUUUUACAUUAUUAUGCAUUAUAUUUUAUAUAUCACCAGUGGCUUCCUAAAAAUGCUUUAAAUGAGUUUUUUUCUUCUUCAUUAAAUCUAUGCUUGGGUCUCUGAUGGUUAAAUAUGACAAAUUAUUUGUUUAUAAUUUAUCAUAAAUUUGUGUAUUUCAUUUAUGGGCUGUUAAAAGAUGGUCAGUAACAAACUAUAAAUAGUUGGCUCUAUCUGUGAUUUAUAAUAAUUUUAACAGCAUUUGAGUGUUAUGUGCAAUGUAAUAAAAUGAAACUGAAGUUUAUAUUUUAAUUUAGUAUAUAAAUGGCAUAUGUAUUGUAUGAGAAAGUCUCUAAAAUGUGUUGUGUUUUAUUAGAAAGUUGCAGUUGCCCAAUUUUGCUGUUGUAAGGAUAUGGACUUUUAUUUUGAAAUCAGAUGUAACCGGAAGUGAAAGUGUUGUGCUACAUAUUGCUCUGUGGACUGACGUCAAUAAAUAUCUGAGUAAAUAUAUAAAUUGUAAUUAUCGUGAAUAAAGUAAUGAAGGGAUAAGACAGAUAAAUGUCAAUACAUUUGAUUAUUUUAAUGUGUCAUUACGUUAGACUGUUUUAUUGACGUUUGAUCAGGCCGAUCAGAUAUUUAACAGUGAGCUUGUGUUGAUCAGAUUAACUCAAGUCAUGUCCAAACUCGAGCACCUGAACUCGAAGGUCGCCAAACUACUGACGGUGGCAGUUCACGAAGUUCUUGAGAUUGUGAAAGAGACCGUAUCACAAUAUCAGGAGAAAACGGCGAGAACACAGCGAGAAAAUGAACGACUGCGCAUAAAAUUACGAGAAGCUCUGGAGAAGUUGGCCAAAGAGAGAGAGGUUUCCGGACAUGCCACCAUCUCCAAAUCAUUUAACUGUGUCCCUCACCAGCAACAGAUAAACAAGCUCUCACACACAAACUCAAACUUCACUCAGACUCAAACACAGAGCGACUGCAGUCACAUGACUGAUCCAGAGACAGUGUGUGACCUCAGUGUCGCUCUCACAUUAGCCGGGUGUCAGAAGACAAGUCCAGUUUCAAAAGACAGCACACCUGCAAAAGUUAAAGGCACAGAUUUACUCAGCACUGUUAAAUGGACACGAAACAUUUCACAUGAAUCAAACGCAUCAUCUGCAGACAGCAAGCCAGACGUUACCAUUGAGCACAUUAAGACAGAAUCUGAUUGUAACAAGAACAUUUCUACACAAAUGCAGCUUUUUCAAAGCAGCCAUGACUUUGCAGAAGAUCUGAGUGUCGCCACUUUUAGACAGGAACCUGUUGCUUCAGGUCCAGUAUUAACCGAUGAAUCCAGUGGCUAUGGACUGGCAUUUAUCAACUCCAGUCACAAUACGCCAGAAAGGCAUUUGGGAUACGGGAGGGGUGUCCACUCAACUCCUCAAGGUGAAGAGCAUCACGUUUGCUUGGUUUGCGGCAAGACGUUCAAUCGUGUGGGGAACCUGCGGAUACAUCAGAGGUGCCACACCGGAGAGAAACCAUACUGCUGCCUGAUAUGUGGCCGCUGCUUCAGUCAAGCCGGAGACCUGAAGAAACACAAGCGUGUUCACACAGGGGAGAAACCAUACUGCUGUGCUCGUUGUGGGAAAAGCUUUAGCAGAGGAGAGAACCUCAAACGCCAUCAGAAGAUCCACAUCGGAGAAACAUUACAUCUCCAGCAAUCAGAGAGAAAUACGCAGAUAAACUAGUGUUUAGAAAUGCAACAUAAAUUAAAGACCCCAUGAAAUGAAAAUCAGAGUUUUGUCUAUGCUAGUGUACUCUUAAAAGUUGACACUUUUAGCAGAUAAACACAUUUCUACAAAUGUGGGUCAUUCAAUAUAACAUAUACAUUUUUGUCCAAUAAAAUGAUCUGUAGAGUGACCUUCUGUCUCUGACUUGCCAAUUAGUAAAUCGUGAUUUUGCUAAGCUGGGAUGUUAACCAAAGUCUGUUAGCUAUUUACAAAAAAAGACAAACCCUGUGAUAUGUCUCGGAGUGCUUUCAUCAUUAAAUUAAUUCUUCUUAAUUUAGUUGCAAUAGACGAGGAUUGCUAAUUUUUACUUUGACUGAUUACAAUGUAUCUUCUGGAACAAAAUAUACAAUAAUGUUAUUGGACAGUUUUUUCUGUCCCAUUUUGAGUGGUUAGAAAUUUAUUAUGUUUUGUAAGAUGUAAUUUCUGUAACACAUUUUAUGGUUUGCAUCAGUAGGCUAGCUUUUGCUUGUAAUACAGUAUAUAAUUAUUUUUCUAUUUCAUUCCAAAUGGUUUAGUUGCUUGUAAUUGCGAAUGUCAUGGAAGUUUCAAUAGGACAAAUGCAGAAACAUAAUGCAACCUUUAACCAAAGUGGCCCUAUCACUAAUCCAUUGUAAUUCAAAAAAUAAAUCAUUCCAGGUUGCACUUUACAGUGAUUUUACCACAGGGGUAAAGGCACGAAACAGAUCAUAAAACAGAAUGAAAACCUUAUAAAAUGUGAAAACUGCAAUAUGAUAAAAAAACACACCAAUAUUUAAUAAAUAGGUACAUAUAUUAAUAAUAAUAAAUAUAGCCGCAAGUUGCAAUUAACGGGGUCCAAGCACAAGUGGAGAGAGAACCAAAAUAAUUACAUUUGAAAGAACUGUAGAUACUGUGGACACAACUAUUUUGGUGUCAAAUUUCAACCACUUUGAUCACAGUUAAACAAGUAGGAUUUUAGUUAUAGCGCCCCCAUCAUCUGGAAUUUAUGAGAUUUUGCAUGUGACCUCAAAAUGUUCUGCUGUCCAUGUGUACUGAGUUUUGUUAAGUUAGAUUAUUCAAAUCACAAGAUAUAGGCCAUCUAGUCAUAAUGGGUCAUACCCAAAAUGUAUUAGCUUAUAUCUUCUGAACGAUUUAGCGAAUCAAAAUUCUUUUGAUUAAAUUUUUUCAAGAGGGUCUGUAGAUGAUGUGUACUAAAUAUCAUGUGAAUCAGACAAACAGCCCAGGACGAGUUAAAAAAAAGUACCUUUUAGACUUGAUUCAAAAUGGCCAAUGGGUAAUAUGGCUGACCACAGUAAAAUUAAGAAGUCCAAAGAAGCCAGUCUCAUGAUUUUAGGCCAAAUUUCGUAAAAGUUCUUAGCACAAAAACAAAAAACAAAAAACUGAUUUGACCAGUAGGUGGCGCUGUCCCCAGAAUGCUGAGGAUUCCUCAAGACAUGAUGCUUAUGACAUAUAACACAUAAUUGUUUCACUAUCUCAAAACGUGCAAAGAAAUAGCCUUAAUUCAUUUUUGCAGUGCUUGCUAUCAGAUUUGUUACAUGCAAAGAUCACAGCUAGUUGGCGCAAUUGCUAACAUUUUUGGAACAAAUUUAGCAAUUUUCAAAAUAUUUAAUUGACCUGUAAUAUACAUUUAAUUAGUGUUGGGUUCGAGUCCACCUUAGUCGAGUCCGAGUCAAGUCCAAGUGUUUAAACAGUCGAGUCCGAAAAGGGGCAGAGUCGGACUCAAGGCCGAGUCGAGUCCGAGUCUCAAUGAAUCUGUUCAAGAAUCUGAAUUCGAAUUGUAACCGUAAACUCAACAUCAAUAUUUUAAGCUUAUUUUAAACUUCACAACUAAGAAAAACAGUUUGUCAACAUAAAUGUAACAAAAAAAAAACACUGCUGCAUUUCAUAUAUUCAUUUUAUGAUUAGUUUCCUGCUGAACAGACUUCAAAGGGGUUUCAGAAUAAAGGAUAUGCUUUAGGUGUAUGAAGACAAAACUGUCCUUCAAUUUGUUGCUUUUUCCCCUCCACUCAAACAUAGAC
Molecule: RNA transcript, 6834 nt
Organism: Myxocyprinus asiaticus (Chinese sucker)
Lineage: Eukaryota; Metazoa; Chordata; Actinopteri; Cypriniformes; Catostomidae
Gene name: zinc finger protein 329-like
Exons: 4
Source: RefSeq, a predicted model, not a curated record